Small nucleolar RNA from Silurus meridionalis, 86 nucleotides. RefSeq annotates it as small nucleolar RNA SNORD100. The transcript has a single exon. The record is from RefSeq and is a predicted model, not a curated record. Lineage: Eukaryota; Metazoa; Chordata; Actinopteri; Siluriformes; Siluridae.
UGCAUCUGUGAUGAUGAUUUGGCUCCCUCUACUGAAGCCUUUGAGGAAAACCGCCAACUUGUUACCCAAAUUCUUUCUGAGGUGUU